CACCCGAGUGGUAGAUUCACUGUGUAGGCAACAUGCUUUAGUGACAACCUGGUAGCAUGAGAGUAAGUAAAAAUUUAAAAACAAAUAUACAAAUAUACAAACUCGAGUUGACAGAAAAUGUGCACAGGAAACAAGACAUUAACGUUCGCAAACUGACACUGAGGCGAAGCUAACUAUGAGAAGUCCCACUCGGCGUGACAGGCGCAUGACUGGGACUUUUUCAGCUAAAACAAAAGGGAACAUUUCAAACUGUGAAGUGCUGGGAGGGGAAACCUCAUCUGGCAGCUACUCGAGAGCUACCCACUUAGGAGGGCACCUACCGCCCUUCACACUGAAAUCCCCCCGGUACAACGUCCCCAGGACCUGGAGCAGCUAUGCAGAUGCAUGUCUGCAGGUCACUGUUUCCAGAGCACUCGGGACUGGGUGUCGUAAGCUGUGUGGGCUCUCUGUAGGAAUCCCAGCCCCUAAACUAUUAAAAAGGCUAGAAAGGUGGGGUUAGAGGCCCUGAAAGGUGGCCAUUAUUAUUCUGGGAGAGAGGGAGCGAGACAAGCACCACUUAGUCACUUACAAAUCCUCUUCUGCCUUUGGUUUCUCUGUGUUGUGUGGAGCCAAGGAUGGAAGCCAGAGUCUCAGCCACCAGAUAUGUGCUCUAUUGACCACCCCCCCAGCCCAGAAAGUUGGAUCUUUAAGGGCACCAGUAAGUCUACACUACACACAGCUAGACCCUGGAGGUCCCUGGUGGUUGCGGGGCUCUACCUCUCGAGACAUCCCUUCCUCAUCUGCGGGCGCCAGGGAUCCGCCAUCUGCCUUCCCAAGAUUCUGGGAGGGCAGAUGCAACCGGUUUCAGGCUGUUCAUCCCAGAGGAGCAGCAGGUGCAGGAGCAAAAAGAACUGAGGGGACAAGCCCAGUCCCCACGGGUGUCAGCCCUGGACACGUGAGACGAAACAUGUUUAGCAACUGAUGGCUCAGCUGAGCUUUGUGGCCCAAGAUGGAGAAACCAGAGAGUGAGAGCGGGGCUAGGAGACAGCUCAGCUGGAAGACUGCAGGAUCCCAGUUUGAGCCCCCCGCACCACUGUGGUGUUUUUCCUUCUCUCUGUGUUCCUCUCUCUCUCUCUCUCUCUCUCUCUCUAGCUCAAAAUAAAUAUAAUCUGCUGGAGCAGUGGAAUCAUGUAGGUAUGAAGUCCCAGCAAAAAGAGAAAAAAAUCAAAAGGAAAAGAAAUAAAAGUUCGGAACUGUAACCA
This is a long non-coding RNA of Erinaceus europaeus (western European hedgehog), 1241 nucleotides long. RefSeq lists it as uncharacterized. NCBI's taxonomy places the organism in Eukaryota, Metazoa, Chordata, Mammalia, Eulipotyphla, Erinaceidae. The transcript is spliced from 2 exons. The record is from RefSeq and is a predicted model, not a curated record.